Molecule: non-coding RNA, 96 nt
Organism: Morus notabilis
Lineage: Eukaryota; Viridiplantae; Streptophyta; Magnoliopsida; Rosales; Moraceae
Source: Rfam
GCUUGCAAUGAUGAUAAAUGUGAAUCCCAGCUCAUUAUGAGACCUUUUGUAGGUCUGGGAGUAGAAUCCAAUCCACAUAUUAUUCUGAGCCCAUUU